AGUGAACGCUGGCGGUAGGCCUAACACAUGCAAGUCGAACGGCAGCACAGUAAGAGCUUGCUCUUACGGGAGGCGAGUGGCGGACGGGCGAGGAAUACAUCGGAAUCUACUUUUUCGUGGGGGAUAACGUAGGGAAACUUACGCUAAUACCGCAUACGACCUACGGGUGAAAGCAGGGGAUCUUCGGACCUUGCGCGAUUGAAUGAGCCGAUGUCGGAUUAGCUAGUUGGCGGGGUAAAGGCCCACCAAGGCGACGAUCCGUAGCGGGUCUGAGAGGAUGAUCAGCCACACUGGAACUGAGACACGGUCCACACUCCGACGGGGGGCCGCAGUGGGGAAUAUUGGACAAUGGGCGAAAGCCUGAUCCAGCCCUACCGCGUGGGUGAAGAAGGCCUUCGGGUUGUAAAGCCCUUUUGUUGGGAAAGAAAAGCAGCUGGUUAAUACCCCGCUGUUCUGACGGUACCCAAAGAAUAAGCACCGGCUAACUUCGUG
Molecule: ribosomal RNA, 492 nt
Filed under: uncultured bacterium
Lineage: Bacteria
Description: partial 16S ribosomal RNA
Rfam family: Bacterial small subunit ribosomal RNA
Source: RNAcentral